Molecule: unclassified non-coding RNA, 240 nt
Filed under: soil metagenome
Description: partial contains 5.8S ribosomal RNA, internal transcribed spacer 2, and large subunit ribosomal RNA
Source: RNAcentral
AACCUUAUGGACCUGCGGGCGUAUACCUGCGGAAGGAUCAUUACAGAGUUGCAAAACUCCCUAAACCAUUGUGAACGUUACCUAAACCGUUGCUUCGGCGGGCGGCCCGGGUCCUUCCCGGCGCCCAUCGGCCCUCGCGGGCGCCCGCCGGAGGUAAACCAAACUAUUGCAUUGUAUGGCCUCUCUGAGUCUUCUGUACUGAAUAAGUCAAAACUUUCAACAAUGGAUCUCAGAUCGGAA